UAUCACUGUAUCACCCUGAACAUAUCCAACCUCAUCUGACCUUGGAAACUAAUAAGCAUUGGGCUUAGUUAGUACCUGGAUGGGAAAUCACCAGAGAAUACCAGAUAAGGCUAGAC
RNAcentral lists this ribosomal RNA (116 nucleotides) under Pogona vitticeps (central bearded dragon). Lineage: Eukaryota; Metazoa; Chordata; Lepidosauria; Squamata; Agamidae. The record is from RNAcentral.